This 460-nucleotide ribosomal RNA is filed under the name uncultured bacterium. RNAcentral's name for it is "partial 16S ribosomal RNA". It matches the Rfam family "Bacterial small subunit ribosomal RNA", at positions 338 to 795 of the family's 1533-position model. The record is from RNAcentral.
CCUACGGGUGGCAGCAGUGAGGAAUAUUGGUCAAUGGGCUUACGCCUGAACCAGCCAAGUCGCGUGAGGGAAGACUGCACUAUGGGUUGUAAACCUCUUUUGUCAGGGAGCAACGCCGGCUACGUGUAGCCGGACUGAGAGUACCUGAAGAAAAAGCUUCGACUAACCCCGUGCCAGCAGCCGCGGUAAUACGGAGGAUGCGAGCGUUAUCCGGAUUGAUUGGGUUUAAGGGGUGCGUAGGCGGAAUGCCAAGUCAGCGGUAAAAGCGCGGGGCUCAACCUCGCUCCGCCGUUGAAACUGGCGUUCUUGAGUUGGCGAGAAGUAUGCGGAAUGCGUGGUGUAGCGGUGAAAUGCAUAGAUAUCACGCAGAACUCCGAUUGCGAAGGCAGCAUACCGGCGCCACACUGACGCUGAAGCACGAAAGCGUGGGUAUCGAACAGGAUUAGAUACCCGAGUAGUC